GAUGAACGCUAGCGGCAGGCCUAAUACAUGCAAGUCGAACGAGAUUAAGAGGCUUGCUUCUUAUGAAAGUGGCGCACGGGUGCGUAACGCGUAUGCAACCUACCUUAAUCAGGGGGAUAGCCCGAAGAAAUUCGGAUUAAGACCGCAUAAAAACACAGGAUAGCAUUAUCCAAUGUUCAAAUAUUUAUAGGAUUAAGAUGGGCAUGCGUAUCAUUAGCUAGUUGGCGGGGUAACGGCCCACCAAGGCGACGAUGACUAGGGGAUCUGAGAGGAUGACCCCCCACACGGGUACUGAGACACGGACCAGACUCCUACGGGAGGCAGCAGUAAGGAAUAUUGGUCAAUGGAGGGAACUCUGAACCAGCCAUGCCGCGUGCAGGAAGACAGCCCUCUGGGUCGUAAACUGCUUUUAGUCGGGAAUAAACCUUUCUACGUGUAGGAAGCUGAAUGUACCGAAGGAAUAAGGAUCGGCUAACUCCGUG
This 482-nucleotide ribosomal RNA is filed under the name uncultured bacterium. RNAcentral describes it as "partial 16S ribosomal RNA". It matches the Rfam family "Bacterial small subunit ribosomal RNA", at positions 28 to 507 of the family's 1533-position model. The record is from RNAcentral.